RNAcentral lists this ribosomal RNA (2915 nucleotides) under Vibrio parahaemolyticus. RNAcentral's name for it is "bacterial LSU rRNA". It matches the Rfam family "Bacterial large subunit ribosomal RNA". The record is from RNAcentral. Lineage: Bacteria; Pseudomonadati; Pseudomonadota; Gammaproteobacteria; Vibrionales; Vibrionaceae.
GUUGUAUGGUUAAGUGACUAAGCGUACACGGUGGAUGCCUUGGCAGUCAGAGGCGAUGAAAGACGUAGUAACUUGCGAUAAGCCCAGAUUAGGUAGUAACAACCAUUUGAGUCUGGGAUUUCUGAAUGGGGAAACCCACUUACAUAAGUAAGUAUCAUUAACUGAAUACAUAGGUUAAUGAGGCGAACCGGGGGAACUGAAACAUCUAAGUACCCCGAGGAAAAGAAAUCAACCGAGAUUCCGAAAGUAGCGGCGAGCGAAAUUGGACUAGCCCUUAAGCUUUACACGCGUUAGACGAACGGUCUGGAAAGUCCGACGAUACAGGGUGAUAGUCCCGUAGUUGACGACGUGUGUUCAGUGAAAUCGAGUAGGGCGGGACACGUGAUAUCCUGUCUGAAUAUGGGGGGACCAUCCUCCAAGGCUAAAUACUACUGACUGACCGAUAGUGAACCAGUACCGUGAGGGAAAGGCGAAAAGAACCCCUGUGAGGGGAGUGAAAUAGAACCUGAAACCGUGUACGUACAAGCAGUAGGAGCAGGCUUGUCCUGUGACUGCGUACCUUUUGUAUAAUGGGUCAGCGACUUAUAUUCAGUGGCAAGGUUAACCAUCUAGGGGAGCCGUAGGGAAACCGAGUCUUAACUGGGCGUUCAGUCUCUGGAUAUAGACCCGAAACCAGGUGAUCUAGCCAUGGGCAGGUUGAAGGUUGAGUAACAUCAACUGGAGGACCGAACCGACUAAUGUUGAAAAAUUAGCGGAUGACUUGUGGCUAGGGGUGAAAGGCCAAUCAAACCUGGAGAUAGCUGGUUCUCCCCGAAAGCUAUUUAGGUAGCGCCUCGGACGAAUACUACUGGGGGUAGAGCACUGUUAAGGCUAGGGGGUCAUCCCGACUUACCAACCCUUUGCAAACUCCGAAUACCAGUAAGUACUAUCCGGGAGACACACGGCGGGUGCUAACGUCCGUCGUGGAGAGGGAAACAACCCAGACCGCCAGCUAAGGUCCCAAAUUACUACUAAGUGGGAAACGAUGUGGGAAGGCUCAGACAGCCAGGAUGUUGGCUUAGAAGCAGCCAUCAUUUAAAGAAAGCGUAAUAGCUCACUGGUCGAGUCGGCCUGCGCGGAAGAUGUAACGGGGCUAAGUAGUAAACCGAAGCUGCGGCAAUGUGCUUUUGCACAUUGGGUAGGGGAGCGUUCUGUAAGCGGUUGAAGGUGUGUGGUAACGCAUGCUGGACGUAUCAGAAGUGCGAAUGCUGACAUGAGUAACGAUAAAGGGGGUGAAAAACCUCCUCGCCGGAAGACCAAGGGUUCCUGUCCAACGUUAAUCGGGGCAGGGUAAGUCGACCCCUAAGGCGAGGCCGAAAGGCGUAGUCGAUGGGAAACGGGUUAAUAUUCCCGUACUUCUUACAAUUGCGAUGGGGGGACGGAGAAGGCUAGGUGGGCCUGGCGACGGUUGUCCAGGUUCAAGUGCGUAGGCUUAAGAGUUAGGUAAAUCCGGCUCUUUUUAAGGCUGAGACACGACGUCGAGCUACUACGGUAGUGAAGUCAUUGAUGCCAUGCUUCCAGGAAAAGCCUCUAAGCUUCAGAUUGUAAGGAAUCGUACCCCAAACCGACACAGGUGGUCGGGUAGAGAAUACCAAGGCGCUUGAGAGAACUCGGGUGAAGGAACUAGGCAAAAUGGUACCGUAACUUCGGGAGAAGGUACGCUCUUGAUGGUGAAGUCCCUCGCGGAUGGAGCUGACGAGAGUCGCAGAUACCAGGUGGCUGCAACUGUUUAUUAAAAACACAGCACUGUGCAAAAUCGUAAGAUGACGUAUACGGUGUGACGCCUGCCCGGUGCCGGAAGGUUAAUUGAUGGGGUUAGACUUCGGUCGAAGCUCUUGAUCGAAGCCCCGGUAAACGGCGGCCGUAACUAUAACGGUCCUAAGGUAGCGAAAUUCCUUGUCGGGUAAGUUCCGACCUGCACGAAUGGCGUAAUGAUGGCCACGCUGUCUCCACCCGAGACUCAGUGAAAUUGAAAUCGCUGUGAAGAUGCAGUGUACCCGCGGCUAGACGGAAAGACCCCGUGAACCUUUACUACAGCUUGGCACUGAACAUUGACCCUACAUGUGUAGGAUAGGUGGGAGGCUUUGAAGCACGUACGCCAGUAUGUGUGGAGCCGUCCUUGAAAUACCACCCUUGUAGUGUUGAUGUUCUAACGUCGACCCCUUAUCGGGGUUGCGGACAGUGCCUGGUGGGUAGUUUGACUGGGGCGGUCUCCUCCCAAAGAGUAACGGAGGAGCACGAAGGUGGGCUAAUCACGGUUGGACAUCGUGAGGUUAGUGCAAUGGCAUAAGCCCGCUUGACUGCGAGAAUGACAAUUCGAGCAGGUGCGAAAGCAGGUCAUAGUGAUCCGGUGGUUCUGAAUGGAAGGGCCAUCGCUCAACGGAUAAAAGGUACUCCGGGGAUAACAGGCUGAUACCGCCCAAGAGUUCAUAUCGACGGCGGUGUUUGGCACCUCGAUGUCGGCUCAUCACAUCCUGGGGCUGAAGUCGGUCCCAAGGGUAUGGCUGUUCGCCAUUUAAAGUGGUACGCGAGCUGGGUUUAGAACGUCGUGAGACAGUUCGGUCCCUAUCUGCCGUGGGCGUUGGAAGAUUGAAGGGGGCUGCUCCUAGUACGAGAGGACCGGAGUGGACGAACCUCUGGUGUUCGGGUUGUGUCGCCAGACGCAUUGCCCGGUAGCUAAGUUCGGAAUCGAUAACCGCUGAAAGCAUCUAAGCGGGAAGCGAGCCCUGAGAUGAGUCUUCCCUGAUACUUUAAGUAUCCUAAAGGGUUGUCGGAGACUACGACGUUGAUAGGUCAGGUGUGUAAGUGCUGUGAGGCAUUGAGCUAACUGAUACUAAUUGCCCGUGAGGCUUAACCAUACAACACCCAAGGGGUUU